UACGGAGGGGGCUAGCGUUGUUCGGAAUUACUGGGCGUAAAGCGCGCGUAGGCGGCUUUGUAAGUUAGAGGUGAAAGCCCAGGGCUUAACCCUGGAAUUGCCUUUAAGACUGCAUCGCUAGAAUCGUGGAGAGGGGAGUGGAAUUCCGAGUGUAGAGGUGAAAUUCGUAGAUAUGCGGAGGAACACCGAUGGCGAAGGCAAUCCCCUGGGCCUGCACUGACGCUCAGGCACGAAAGCGUGGAGAGCAAACAGG
RNAcentral lists this ribosomal RNA (253 nucleotides) under uncultured bacterium. RNAcentral describes it as "partial 16S ribosomal RNA". It matches the Rfam family "Bacterial small subunit ribosomal RNA", at positions 524 to 776 of the family's 1533-position model. The record is from RNAcentral.